Molecule: ribosomal RNA, 182 nt
Filed under: uncultured Mucor
Lineage: Eukaryota; Fungi; Mucoromycota; Mucoromycetes; Mucorales; Mucoraceae
Description: partial 26S ribosomal RNA
Source: RNAcentral
GAGUGAGCGAAGAGCUCAAUUUGAAAUCUGUUUGCUUCAGCGUUCCGUAGUGUUUUCUGUAUAGCGCCUUGGGGCGGCCGUUGUCUUAGUUCCUUGGAAAGGAGGUCAUAGAAGGGUGAAAAUCCCGUCGAUGAGAAGAGCAUUUGUCUUUUGUGAUACGUUUUCAAAGAGACUAGUUGGGU